This 542-nucleotide ribosomal RNA is filed under the name uncultured bacterium. RNAcentral describes it as "partial 16S ribosomal RNA". It matches the Rfam family "Bacterial small subunit ribosomal RNA", at positions 355 to 888 of the family's 1533-position model. The record is from RNAcentral.
UGGGGAAUUUUGGACAAUGGGCGAAAGCCUGAUCCAGCAAUGCCGCGUGUGUGAAGAAGGCCUUCGGGUUGUAAAGCACUUUUGUCCGGAAAGAAAUCCUCUGGGUUAAUACCUCGGGGGGAUGACGGUACCGGAAGAAUAAGCACCGGCUAACUACGUGCCAGCAGCCGCGGUAAUACGUAGGGUGCAAGCGUUAAUCGGAAUUACUGGGCGUAAAGCGUGCGCAGGCGGUUUUGUAAGACGGAUGUGAAAUCCCCGGGGCUUAACCUGGGAACUGCAUUCGUGACUGCAAGGCUAGAGUAUGGCAGAGGGGGGUUAGAAUUCCACGUGUAGCAGUGAAAUGCGUAGAGAUGUGGAGGAAUACCGAUGGCGAAGGCAGCCCCCUGGGCCAAUACUGACGCUCAUGCACGAAAGCGUGGGGAGCAAACAGGAUUAGAUACCCUGGUAGUCCACGCCCUAAACGAUGUCAACUAGUUGUUGGGGAUUCAUUUCCUUAGUAACGUAGCUAACGCGUGAAGUUGACCGCCUGGGGAGUACGGUCG